CAUGCAGUCGAGCGGGCGAGGUGUAGCCUUCGCGUACACUAGUACGCUAGCGGCGGACGGGUGAGUAAUGCUUAGGAAUCUGCCUAUUAGUGGGGGACAACAUUCCGAAAGGAAUGCUAAUACCGCAUACGCCCUACGGGGGAAAGCAGGGGAUCUUCGGACCUUGCGCUAAUAGAUGAGCCUAAGUCAGAUUAGCUAGUUGGUGGGGUAAAGGCCUACCAAGGCGACGAUCUGUAGCGGGUCUGAGAGGAUGAUCCGCCACACUGGGACUGAGACACGGCCCAGACUCCUACGGGAGGCAGCAGUGGGGAAUAUUGGACAAUGGGCGCAAGCCUGAUCCAGCCAUGCCGCGUGUGUGAAGAAGGCCUUUUGGUUGUAAAGCACUUUAAGCGAGGAGGAGGCUACUUGGAUUAAUACUCUAGGAUAGUGGACGUUACUCGCAGAAUAAGCACCGGCUAACUCUGUGCCAGCAGCCGCGGUAAUACAGAGGGUGCGAGCGUUAAUCGGAUUUACUGGGCGUAAAGCGUGCGUAGGCGGCUUCUUAAGUCGGAUGUGAAAUCCCUGAGCUUAACUUAGGAAUUGCAUUCGAUACUGGGAGGCUAGAGUAUGGGAGAGGAUGGUAGAAUUCAAGGAGUAGCGGUGAAAUGCGUAGAGAUCUGGAGGAAGACCGAUGGCGAAGGCAGCCAUCUGGCCUAAUACUGACGCAGAGGUACGAAAGCAUGGGGAGCAAACACGAUUAGAUACCCUGGUAGUCCAUGCCGUAAAAGAUGCCGACUAGCCGUUGGGGCCUCUGAGGCUCUAGUGGCGCAGCUACGCGAUAAGAAGACCGCCUGGGGAAUACGGUCCCAGACUAAACUCAAAUGAACUGACCGGGCCCGCACAAGCAGUGGAGAAUGUGGUUGACUCGAAGUAGGUAGUCUAACCGCAAGGAGGACGCUACCAC
Molecule: ribosomal RNA, 943 nt
Filed under: Acinetobacter sp. NCCP-1741
Lineage: Bacteria; Pseudomonadati; Pseudomonadota; Gammaproteobacteria; Moraxellales; Moraxellaceae
Description: bacterial SSU rRNA
Rfam family: Bacterial small subunit ribosomal RNA
Source: RNAcentral